UGGUUUCAUUUCUUUUGAAUGGAUGUGUCAACCCCAAAAGAAACCUUGUUUGGAUCCGCCACUGCGGAUACAGGUCUAAUAUAUGUUUUAUACAUACAUACAUUUUGCACUUGUGUGAAGGUGAACUCUCCAUAACGUCCAUAACACAUUUUUCCCAAAAAAGAAAGAUGGGUUAAUUUUUCAAUAACACAGUGCGACAUAACCUCACAAUUAAUAAACAUUGUUUAUUCCACUAAUAUUAAGUAUAUUAUUAAAAUAGUGCGUCACCACAUAAGAAUAGUAUAGCUUUAAAUACAUUAUGCUGUAAAAAAAAUUUAUUUAAUAAUAAUUAGAAAACAGAUGGUUUAUUUAAUCAUAGUGACGCCCAGACGCUUUUUCGUGGAAAUGCCCUACUGUUCUAUUUAAUUAGUUUCAACAAAUUAUUACCUGUAUCGAUGAAUGGCAUUAAUUUCGGAAAUGAACAAAAAGUACAACUUAUAGAUUUCACAAAUUCGAUAUCGAGAAACUUGAAAGUGGAUUAAAAUAUUUCAUUGGACUACAUAAUUUUCAAACAUUUUCAUUUGAAGAUAAAGACAAAUAAGAAAAAGUCUAUUGACGAUAUUUCGUAUGAAAUAGUACUGGAAAAGGCAACUCCUCUAUUUCCGUUUGUUUCAUGCGUGGAAAAUUUUGAUUUCUGGCAUAUUAAAUUUCGAUAAAAAUCGUUUGUUCAUAAUCAGAUUCGAUGGAUGGUCUUCGCACUUUUUGCCCUCGCCAGUUGACAAAUUGCGGAAAAAGAUGUAAAAGAAAAUCUUUGAAAACUCUUCUUUUUAUUUUAAAAAAUAAAUCUGAAAAGUUUACUAAACAAAAAACGCAUACAAUCGAAAUCGUAUAUAAAACUCUCAUUUAUUAGUGCCACAAAACCAGAUUUUGAAAUAGUGAAAAUAAUUUCCGAUCUCUAUUUAAGUUUAUUAAGUGAGAAAUUAUUAUUGAAAUAUUCGAUAAAAAAUAUUCUCAGUAUUGGCAUGUUUGAAGAUGUAUUGGAAUGUUUGAGAAUUAUCUAUAAUAAUUGUCGGUGGCAGUGAUGAAAAUAUUUUAGUUCAUAUUGAAAUAGGAGAAUUUUACGUUCACCCACAAUUGUCAUUUUUGACGAUAAUUUAAAAUAAAUUUGUUAUUAUUGUA
Leptopilina heterotoma is the source of this 1158-nucleotide long non-coding RNA. RefSeq lists it as uncharacterized. The record is from RefSeq and is a predicted model, not a curated record. The transcript is spliced from 3 exons. Lineage: Eukaryota; Metazoa; Arthropoda; Insecta; Hymenoptera; Figitidae.